This 85-nucleotide transfer RNA is filed under the name Felis catus (domestic cat). It matches the Rfam family "tRNA". Rfam says of the family: Transfer RNA (tRNA) molecules are approximately 80 nucleotides in length. Lineage: Eukaryota; Metazoa; Chordata; Mammalia; Carnivora; Felidae. The record is from Rfam by way of RNAcentral.
GCCUGGGUGGCUCAGUCGUUUAAGUGUCUGACUUUGGCUCAGGUCAUGAUCUUGUGGUUCAUGGGUUCGAGCCCCGUGCCGGGCU